GACGAACCGAGCGAACGUUGUUCGGAAUCACUGGGCUUAAAGGGCGCGUAGGCGGGCUGCCGCGUCCGGGGUGAAAUCCCACGGCUCAACCGUGGAACGGCCCCGGGUACGGGCGGCCUCGAGGGGGGUAGGGGCGUGCGGAACUGUGGGUGGAGCGGUGAAAUGCGUUGAUAUCCACAGGAACUCCGGUGGCGAAGGCGGCACGCUGGACCCGAUCUGACGCUGAGGCGCGAAAGCCAGGGGAGCAAACGGG
This 253-nucleotide ribosomal RNA is filed under the name uncultured bacterium. RNAcentral describes it as "partial 16S ribosomal RNA". It matches the Rfam family "Bacterial small subunit ribosomal RNA", at positions 524 to 776 of the family's 1533-position model. The record is from RNAcentral.